This 582-nucleotide ribosomal RNA is filed under the name Apis cerana cerana. RNAcentral's name for it is "partial 16S ribosomal RNA". It matches the Rfam family "Bacterial large subunit ribosomal RNA", at positions 1792 to 2646 of the family's 2925-position model. Lineage: Eukaryota; Metazoa; Arthropoda; Insecta; Hymenoptera; Apidae. The record is from RNAcentral.
UUAUUCACCUGUUUAUCAAAACAUGGCCUAUUGAAUAUAAUUUUAGGUCGAUCUGCUCCAUGAAAUAAAUUUAAAUAGCUGCAGUAUAUUGACUGUACAAAGGUAGCAUAAUAAAUUGUCUUUUAAUUGAAGAAUUGAAUGAAUGAAUUGAUGAAAUAACAACUGUCUCUAUUUUAUUUAAUGAAUUUAAAUUUUUAGUAAAAAUUCUGAAAUUUAAUUAUGGGACGAUAAGACCCUAUAGAAUUUUAUUUAAUAUAAUUAUUUAUUUAAAUUAUUUGUGAAUAUAUAAUUAAUUUAAAUUUGAUUGGGAGGAUUGGUAAAUAAAAAUAACUUUAUCUAAAAAUUAAUUUUGAUGAAAAGAUUUUUUUUGACUUAUAAUUUAUGAUUAAAAGAAUAAAUUACCUUAGGGAUAACAGCGUAAUAUCUUUUGAUAGACCACAUUGAUAAAGAUGUUUGCGACCUCGAUGUUGAAUUAAGAGAAAAGUUAAACGCAGGAGUUUAAAAUUUUAAGUCUGUUCGACUUUUAAAAUCUUACAUGAUUUGAGUUCAAAUCGACGUAAGUCAGAUUGGUUUCUAUCUAUA